This is a long non-coding RNA of Ornithodoros turicata, 688 nucleotides long. RefSeq lists it as uncharacterized. The record is from RefSeq and is a predicted model, not a curated record. Lineage: Eukaryota; Metazoa; Arthropoda; Arachnida; Ixodida; Argasidae. The transcript has 2 exons.
UUUUUUUUUUUUACUGUCAGACGGCUGUGUUGCCCAGUGACUGUGAAUGUCCUGCCAAAUGUGAUGGUUUCGCAUGCCAUUACUGCAACGAAUGGUGCCGUAAGGAGCAAUCCUAGAUGCUAUACAAGCCAUGAUCUUGUGCCAUCUUGUGCCAUCUGCCAUGAAUCUUGUCUUGGUGGACAAGCUGGAGAACUGGGCUGGACCAAACCCAGAGAAAGGAGGAGAGAGAAAAAAAAAAAAGCGAGGAAAAGGCGCUGUUCCGGGCACAGCAGGAAAACCGUCUGAACAAGCGGGGCUUGCUGCGCAGUCACACGUUUUGUCACACUAUGGAACUGAGUCUGUAAUACUGAGCCCUCGGGAAUGCAUAGCUUGUUCCUGUGCCGUUGGGGUCCCUUUUAUCCAGUGGACCACGGUGAUUCAACAGGGGGUAAAGAUGAUAUGAACGGCCACGUUUCCUGGUCAUCUGCUUCAAGGCUACCGUUCCUCUGUUGUUGCUGCUGCUACUGCAGUGUAAUGAACUGCUUGUGGACCUAGCUGCUGAAAUGGAGUGAUUCUAGGUUCUUCUGAGCCCUGGAAUUUGCUCUGCCACGGAAGGGCAUGCUAUGGCCAGCAACAUGUUGUCGUGUUUUUUUUUUCCCCUGAAAGAAAUGCGAGACUGUAAAGGACAGAGUAAAGUUUUCUGCAUUUA